RNAcentral lists this small nuclear RNA (140 nucleotides) under Teleopsis dalmanni. RNAcentral describes it as "U4 spliceosomal RNA". It matches the Rfam family "U4 spliceosomal RNA". From Rfam's summary of the family: U4 small nuclear RNA (U4 snRNA) is a component of the major U2-dependent spliceosome. The structure of U4 snRNA from yeast and human has been reported. U4 snRNA presents a k-turn RNA motif in the 5p-SL related to recognition of Snu13 protein. The record is from RNAcentral. Lineage: Eukaryota; Metazoa; Arthropoda; Insecta; Diptera; Diopsidae.
AGCUUUGCGCAGAGGCGAUAUCGUGACCAAUGAAGUUUUACUGAGGUGCGAUUAUUGCUGGUUGAAAACUUUAACCAAUACUCCGCUGUAUUGGACGUAUUUUACGUUCUCUACAGCAAUUUUUGGAAACCCGUAAGGGU